AAGGGCACCACAAGAACGCGUGGAGCAUGUGGCUUAAUUUGACUCAACGCGGGAAAUCUUACCGGGUCCGGACACACUGAGGAUUGACAGGCAAUAUUAAUUUCUGCAGCUUCGGCUAAAGUUAUUAUGUUAAAUAUGCUAGUCCUUUCAUGAUUAUGUGAUAGGUGGUGCAUGGCCGUUCUUAGUUCGUGGAGUGAUCUGUCUGCUUAAUUGCGUUUCACUAAGGGCCUAUAAAUUACGUGUGUUGCGGUACUUUGACCCCUCUUUUUUCACGAGAAGAGCGCGUGUCUUAGUUUGCUUAGCUCACACAAUUAGGUCCUGAAAGCAACGAACGUGACCGCAACCUCUUGUUGCCUUUAUACCAAACAUGGAUAUUCUCUUCGGAGGGUUUCAUGAAAAAAGGCUUUUUAAACUAGAGGGACCGCUGUUACUUUCUUAAACCAGAGGAAGGUUGCGGCAAUAACAGGUCUGUGAUGCCCUUAGAUGUUCCGGGCUGCACACGUGCUACAAUGAUUAUUGCAGUGAGCAUCUCAUUUUUUACACACCGCAUACGCGAGUCCAUUUAUUCACUCUCGGGUGCUUUAAAUGUGCAUCUCUGCGAGCGGUAAAGCCUGCUUCGAAAGUAAGUGGGUAAUCAAUUAGAAGUAAUGAUUUCCUUUUUUUCUAGCACACAUAUAUACGGCGUUUAUACCCGGGCUGCCUUGUUGUAGCUUUUGUGCGUAUAGAUGUUUUUUCCGUAUGUGCGAUUGUCAAUUCAUGGUGGGGACAGACCAUUGUUAAUUGUUGGUCUCGGUCUUAACUAGGAAUGCCUUGUACGGGUCUUUGGUUCAACAAACCACCCGGAAUACGUCCCUGCCCUUUGUACACACCGCCCGUCGCUCUUACCGAUGGACUUCUCUGUGAGUUUGAGGGACUGGGAACGCAGGUUUUUUAUUAAAUCUGCACACCUAUGGAAACUUAAACGAACAGUGUGGUCUAAAGGAAAGAGAAGUCGAACAAGGCAU
RNAcentral lists this ribosomal RNA (1004 nucleotides) under Epistominella vitrea. RNAcentral describes it as "SSU rRNA". It matches the Rfam family "Eukaryotic small subunit ribosomal RNA", at positions 1160 to 1802 of the family's 1831-position model. Lineage: Eukaryota; Foraminifera; Rotaliida; Pseudoparrellidae. The record is from RNAcentral.